This 86-nucleotide transfer RNA is filed under the name Candidatus Enterousia avistercoris. Its description in RNAcentral is "tRNA-Leu". It matches the Rfam family "tRNA". Rfam says of the family: Transfer RNA (tRNA) molecules are approximately 80 nucleotides in length. Their secondary structure includes four short double-helical elements and three loops (D, anti-codon, and T loops). Lineage: Bacteria; Pseudomonadati; Pseudomonadota; Alphaproteobacteria. The record is from RNAcentral.
GCGGGCAUGGCGAAACGGCAGACGCACAGCACUAAGGAUGCUGUGGAUUAAAAUCCAUGGGGGUUCGAAUCCCCCUGCCCGCACCA